CAUGAACCUUCAAAGGUUCUUUUGAACUACCAAAGAGACUAGAACAUCGUCACGUGACCCGCAGGUCCUGCGACGCUAGCGCAAGCACCACCGCAUCUGAAGCUUCUGGUUACUGCCCGAAUAUCGUCAUUGUCCAUCUCGAAGUGCUGCGUUGAUAAGGAAGAAGAGAAUGAGCCACUGCCAGACACCUCUCUUAGAAAAACAAAGGAUUGGAUUGGGCACAUUGAAAUCCACCAUGCCCAAUCAUUCUUUCAUUUGACAUCAGCUGUCGAGGGAGAUUCAAGACACUGCAUGCACAUUGGAUGAUAUAC
Molecule: long non-coding RNA, 311 nt
Organism: Hyla sarda
Lineage: Eukaryota; Metazoa; Chordata; Amphibia; Anura; Hylidae
Exons: 3
Source: RefSeq, a predicted model, not a curated record